RNAcentral lists this long non-coding RNA (413 nucleotides) under Vigna radiata. RNAcentral's name for it is "long non-coding RNA (VRAD_LNC014854)". The record is from RNAcentral. Lineage: Eukaryota; Viridiplantae; Streptophyta; Magnoliopsida; Fabales; Fabaceae.
AUUUUUAUUACUUGUACGAUUUCGUACACUUGCCAAUUUGUCAACAAGUUUUUGGCGCCGUUGCCGGGGACUCGAGGUUUAUUUGUCUAGUAGUGUGAAUUGAUUGGAUUUGACUUGAUUGUAAUUAUUUUUGUUUUUAUUUUUCUUUUACUGCAUUUUGUUUUAUUGUCUAUAAAAGUGCUUUUAGGGUGUGUUCCUUGUGAAUGCAGGAGACAAUACACACUAGAAGCAGGAAAAACCAACAACCUCUGCUUGAAGGUCUACCAUACGAGAGGAGGAAGAGACGCCCUUUUUGUGAAAGAUCUCUUUCUCCAGAAGUUACUCCACCAGAGACUUUUGAACCAAAUCUUGAGGAGAUGGCCCUUCAACCUCCUCCCAGACGCACUCUAGGAUACGCAGCUAAUACAGUUGGC